ACACUAGCUAACAAAUGAGCCUAGUACGAUACUAACUUGCUAGGUAAUUUGCAAGUUACGUUUUCACUAUAAUGCAUAUAUAUUCAACACUUGACUUCACGUUCAAAGCAACACAUGGUUGGGAGUACAGUACUGUCUAUUGUACCAAAACAUACAUGAUGGAAGAACUCCACAGCCUGGAUCCACGGCGACAGGAGCUGCUGGAGGCUCGCUUCACAGGAAUGGGAGUGGCCAAGGUCAAUUUAGAAAUAGUAUAACUACAAAUACAGUGCCCUCCAGAAUUAUUGGCUCCCAAUGUAGAUAUGAACAAAAUGGGCUGUGAGAAAUGUCAUUGUUGUUUAUCAGCUUGAUCCUACACAAAAAAUCAUAUGAUUCUAACCUUUAAUUUUGUAAGAAUUUAUCAAAGAAAUGAAUACAGUCAAUAAAUAAUUAUUUUAUUCAAAAACAAGCGUGCCACGAUAAUUGGCACUCCUGCAAUUUAGUAUACCCUGACUUUGCUAAGCUAACAGCGCUGAGUUGUCUCCCAUAAUGUUUGAUGAGGUGGGAGAACACAUAGAAAAGGGAUUUCAGACCAUUCCUCCAUACAGAAAAUCGAAUCCUAAAGGUGUUUUGGCUGUGUGUCACCUCAUAUUUACACCCAAGUUGAACAGGAUGUCAUGAAUGAAACACUCAGACGUGCUUUAAAAUCAGGUUGUAUAUCAAUUAAAAUGUGUUAAGAUUUUUCUUUUAACAAUUUUCACUCAAUUAAAUGGCCAGAUUAAGCUAGCUUGAUUAAUCUGUCACUAAACAACAUCUACUCUGUUAACAGUUUGACUAAAAUAUGUGGUAGCUAAUUAGCUUGUUAAUUGUUUACAAAAUGUUACAAAUUCAUGAGUAUACUAAUAAUAUGUAACACCAUUUUUGAUCCUGGGUAGUAAGAGUUAUUUUGUAAAUGCCUAAAACUUAUAGAAAAUUGAUUUUAUUCCCCAGAAACUUUACUGUUGUGACAAUGACAGUGAUAUUUUGAAAUGGACCUAUUUCCAAUGAAAGAACGUGCAAAUUGGUUUCUUCGUUCACAAAGUCAGAAAAAACAACAUAUGAAUCCAAAUGAACAUGUAUUCAUAUUAAAGUAAUACAAAAGA
Molecule: long non-coding RNA, 1121 nt
Organism: Esox lucius (northern pike)
Lineage: Eukaryota; Metazoa; Chordata; Actinopteri; Esociformes; Esocidae
Exons: 2
Source: RefSeq, a predicted model, not a curated record